GACGAACGCUGGCGGCGUGCUUAACACAUGCAAGUCGAACGGUAAGGCCCUUCGGGGUACACGAGUGGCGAACGGGUGAGUAACACGUGGGUGAUCUGCCCUGCACAUCGGGAUAAGCCUGGGAAACUGGGUCUAAUACCGGAUAGGACCACUGCCUGCAUGGGUGGUGGUGGAAAGCUUUUGCGGUGUGGGAUGGGCCCGCGGCCGAUCAGCUUGUUGGUGGGGUGAUGGCCUACCAAGGGGAGGACGGGUCGCCGGCCUGAGAGGGUGACCGGCCACACUGGGACUAAGAUACGCCCCAGACGCCUACGGGAGGCAGCAGUGGGAAAUAUUGCACAUUGGGCGCAAGCCGGAUGCAGCGACGCCGCGUGAGGGAUGACGGCCUUCGGGUUGUAAACCUCUUUCAGCACCGACGAAGCGCAAGUGACGGUAGGUGCAGAAGAAGGACCGGCCAACUACGUGCAAGCAGCCGCCGUAA
This 478-nucleotide ribosomal RNA is filed under the name uncultured bacterium. RNAcentral's name for it is "partial 16S ribosomal RNA". It matches the Rfam family "Bacterial small subunit ribosomal RNA", at positions 28 to 523 of the family's 1533-position model. The record is from RNAcentral.